RNAcentral lists this ribosomal RNA (395 nucleotides) under uncultured bacterium. RNAcentral's name for it is "bacterial SSU rRNA". It matches the Rfam family "Bacterial small subunit ribosomal RNA", at positions 505 to 898 of the family's 1533-position model. The record is from RNAcentral.
GUGUCAGCCGCCGCGGUAAGACGGAGGGGGCGAGCGUUGUCCGGAAUUACUGGGCGUAAAGGGCGCGUAGGCGGGCGUGUACGGCGGUGGUGAAAGCUCCUGGCUCAACUGGGAGAGGCCCUCCGCAACGGCACGUCUCGAGGGUGGUAGAGGCAGAUGGAAUUCCAGGUGUAGCGGUGAAAUGCGUAGAGAUCUGGAGGAACACCCGUGGCGAAGGCGGUCUGCUGGGCCAUGCCUGACGCUGAAGCGCGAAGGCCAGGGGAGUGAACGGGAUUAGAUACCCCGGUAAUCCUGGCGGUAAACGAUGGAUACUAGGUGUCAGUGGUAUCGACCCUACUGGUGCCGCAGCUAACGCGAUAAGUAUCCCGCCUGGGGAGUACGGCCGCAAGGUUGAA